CAUCAAUGCAAAAAAGAAAUAAAAAUGUAUUAAAGUAUAGCUUCAAAAGGUACAACUAGCAUCUGGAAAUAGGGGUGGGUAUAGUAAUAUACAGUAGUAUAAAAUGUGUUGGCUCUGAAAAUCCUAGGACAGCUGCAAUUUACAAGUAGGGCAAUUUAGGUGUAUUUUUUUAAAACUAUCCUCAUCAGUGCCAAUUUGGGACUUUCAAAGGGAUUUAUGAAUUUAAAAUUGUUAACGAUGUGCUUAUAGCAUAUGCAAUGAUUUUUUAAAAUGAAAAUGUAAAGUUAUCAAAAUUUAGAUUGCUGAAUUCAAACAAUAACUAGUACAUUACAUUUAGAUAAUGUGAGCACCACUUAUAAGUUAUUACAAAUUAUUUCUGUAUUUGGCUUACUGUAGUUAUUGAAAGUAAUGUCAUUUAUCAUGUUACGGCAAUUGUUAAUACUUCGUACAAUCGUGAUGUACUGUGCACUUUUUUAAGCAUUUUUAAUUGUGACAGUGAGAAAAAGAGCAAGUGCCUCCCCUAUUUUAUGCAAGAGUAGUUCUAUUUGUUCAAGUUCAUGCAAUGAGUGACAGUAACUCAGGACUAGCCUUAGGUGUCCUGAUUUCCUGAUAGACUGUUUUAUCCUACUUGUCUGUCCAAUAUUUAUUUCCAAAUGAGUAUUACUUGUACUUGCAAAUAUUUAUAAAGACUUGAGUUUAAUCAGCUUGGUUUAUGUUGUUUCUAUAUACUUAUUUAGCAUUUGUAUUUUAAAAUUGUUUUGAGACAUUUUAUAAAGUCAUACCAAUUUAAGACAGGUGGCAUAUAUAUAAUGUCAAAGUAAAUAAUUAAAAUUUAUAUCCAGCAUGGGCAACCUUUGGUAAAUCUGUACUUAUAUCUUUAAUUAUUUGAUUCCACUUAAAUACCUUCCACCUAGAUAUUUAGUUUAUUAUCUUAAAUUGUCAUAAUUUUUCCUACAGGAAAGAAUUAAGAGAAUAGAACAAAUAAGAAUGGAAAAAUAACUUCGAGCCCAGCAAAUUCUAGAGGCUAAAAGGAUAAAGAAGGAAGAAGCUGCAAAUGCCAAAUUAUUGGAGGCUGAGAAACGAAAACAGG
Molecule: non-coding RNA, 1090 nt
Organism: Manis javanica (Malayan pangolin)
Lineage: Eukaryota; Metazoa; Chordata; Mammalia; Pholidota; Manidae
Source: RefSeq, a predicted model, not a curated record